This 484-nucleotide ribosomal RNA is filed under the name uncultured bacterium. Its description in RNAcentral is "partial 16S ribosomal RNA". It matches the Rfam family "Bacterial small subunit ribosomal RNA", at positions 29 to 507 of the family's 1533-position model. The record is from RNAcentral.
AUUGAACGCUGGCGGCAUGCUUUACACAUGCAAGUCGAACGGCAGCGCGGGCUUCGGCCUGGCGGCGAGUGGCGAACGGGUGAGUAAUACAUCGGAACGUGCCCAGUAGUGGGGGAUAGCUCGGCGAAAGCCGGAUUAAUACCGCAUACGACCUGAGGGUGAAAGCGGGGGAUCUUCGGAACUCGCGCUAUUGGAGCGGCCGAUGGCCGAUUAGCUAGUUGGUGGGGUAAAGGCCUACCAAGGCGACGAUCUGUAGCUGGUCUGAGAGGACGACCAGCCACACGGGGACUGAGACACGGCCCAGACUCCUACGGGAGGCAGCAGUCGGGAAUGUUGGACAAUGGGCGAAAGCCUGAUCCAGCAAUGCCGCGUGUGUGAUGAAGGCCUUCGGGUUGUAAAACACUUUUGGCGGGAACGAAAAGGACUGUGCCAAUACCACGGUUCGAUGACGGUACCCGCAGAAUAAGCACCGGCUAACUACGUG